GACAGUGUGGCUCAGUGGAAAGAGCACGGGCUUUGGAGUCAGAGGUCAUGAGUUUGAAUCCCAGCUCUGCCA
Molecule: transfer RNA, 72 nt
Filed under: Ornithorhynchus anatinus (platypus)
Lineage: Eukaryota; Metazoa; Chordata; Mammalia; Monotremata; Ornithorhynchidae
Rfam family: tRNA
About the family: Transfer RNA (tRNA) molecules are approximately 80 nucleotides in length.
Source: Rfam by way of RNAcentral